AAAUUGAAGAGUUUGAUCAUGGCUCAGAUUGAACGCUGGCGGCAGGCCUAACACAUGCAAGUCGAACGGUAACAGGAAGCAGCUUGCUGCUUUGCUGACGAGUGGCGGACGGGUGAGUAAUGUCUGGGAAACUGCCUGAUGGAGGGGGAUAACUACUGGAAACGGUGGCUAAUACCGCAUAACGUCGCAAGACCAAAGAGGGGGACCUUCGGGCCUCUUGCCAUCAGAUGUGCCCAGAUGGGAUUAGCUUGUUGGUGAGGUAACGGCUCACCAAGGCGACGAUCCCUAGCUGGUCUGAGAGGAUGACCAGCCACACUGGAACUGAGACACGGUCCAGACUCCUACGGGAGGCAGCAGUGGGGAAUAUUGCACAAUGGGCGCAAGCCUGAUGCAGCCAUGCCGCGUGUAUGAAGAAGGCCUUCGGGUUGUAAAGUACUUUCAGCGGGGAGGAAGGUGUUGUGGUUAAUAACCACAGCAAUUGACGUUACCCGCAGAAGAAGCACCGGCUAACUCCGUGCCAGCAGCCGCGGUAAUACGGAGGGUGCAAGCGUUAAUCGGAAUUACUGGGCGUAAAGCGCACGCAGGCGGUCUGUCAAGUCGGAUGUGAAAUCCCCGGGCUCAACCUGGGAACUGCAUUCGAAACUGGCAGGCUUGAGUCUUGUAGAGGGGGGUAGAAUUCCAGGUGUAGCGGUGAAAUGCGUAGAGAUCUGGAGGAAUACCG
RNAcentral lists this ribosomal RNA (721 nucleotides) under Salmonella enterica. RNAcentral describes it as "bacterial SSU rRNA". It matches the Rfam family "Bacterial small subunit ribosomal RNA", at positions 1 to 711 of the family's 1533-position model. Lineage: Bacteria; Pseudomonadati; Pseudomonadota; Gammaproteobacteria; Enterobacterales; Enterobacteriaceae. The record is from RNAcentral.